UCGCUUGUUUGUUCAUUUAUUCGGAGCUGUGUGUGAUCCUUCUGUGUUUGUUUUAGUGAUUUCAAAUAUCAACAGCGUUUCUCAGAAAUCACUGAGUGUACCUAUAAGUACACAGUAUAAGUGGGCGUACUGAUGAUGAGUAUUGACAAUCCAAUAUGUAUUCUUUAUUUCUGGUGGCAUUUGUGUUUGUUUGUUUAUUUGUAGCAGUUUAAAAAAAAAAUGUAGGGUGAAAAUAUGCUAACACUUUAUGAAUGUCUUUUACUUCCCAGAUCAUGUAUGCCAGAGCUGUGUGGGUGGAGCAUGGUAAAGAAGUGGAGGGAACUGCACCAGACAACUGGAUUGAUGCUGAAAAAAAAUCAUUAGAUGGCCAAAAAAGGGGGAAAAGGCAGCUUUCCUCAAUCGGCACUCCCCUCAGGAUGACUGGAUGACGUUCACCUUGGUGAAGCGUAAAAUGACCUCCGGUAAGUUUUUGUUAAUUUAAUUAGAUUCUUUGUCAAAAUAAAAAUUGUAAGGCAGCCAAAUGAGAAAAAUCAAGUCAAACUUGGGUCAAUCUAGUCAAACCCGUAGUCAAAGUGAUAGUAAAGUUGUUUUUAUUGUAAUUGUAUUGUCUAUGAUUUAAACUUUACAGAUAGCAUUCGUGAAUGCAAUGAUUAUGACAUGAUGAGUCAUGUCGAGGAGGAAGAUGAGGAAGCAGGACCGAGGAAAAAAACUAAACGUAACUUUGAUGACUAUGUUCUUGAAUCUGACGAUUUGGAGGAGGAAGAAGAGAACAUGACAGAUGCCAUUAUCAAGGUGCCCUCCUUUCCCAUUCCACCAACAAAGGUGACAAAGUCCAU
This is a long non-coding RNA of Cyprinus carpio (common carp), 836 nucleotides long. The record is from Ensembl. NCBI's taxonomy places the organism in Eukaryota, Metazoa, Chordata, Actinopteri, Cypriniformes, Cyprinidae.